Molecule: ribosomal RNA, 259 nt
Filed under: uncultured Desulfovibrio sp.
Lineage: Bacteria; Pseudomonadati; Thermodesulfobacteriota; Desulfovibrionia; Desulfovibrionales; Desulfovibrionaceae
Description: partial 16S ribosomal RNA
Rfam family: Bacterial small subunit ribosomal RNA
Source: RNAcentral
AGGUAAUGCUGGGCACUCUGGUGAGACUGCCCCGGUUAACGGGGAGGAAGGUGGGACGACGUCAAGUCAUCAUGGCCCUUACGCCUAGGGCUACACACGUACUACAAUGGCGCAUACAAAGGGCAGCGAUACCGCGAGGUGGAGCCAAUCCCAAAAAGUGCGUCCCAGUCCGGAUUGCAGUCUGCAACUCGACUGCAUGAAGUUGGAAUCGCUAGUAAUUCGAGAUCAGCAUGCUCGGGUGAAUGCGUUCCCGGGCCUU